This 348-nucleotide long non-coding RNA is filed under the name Ananas comosus (pineapple). RNAcentral's name for it is "long non-coding RNA (ACOM_LNC018150)". The record is from RNAcentral. Lineage: Eukaryota; Viridiplantae; Streptophyta; Magnoliopsida; Poales; Bromeliaceae.
UUCUAGCCCUUGGAUCUACUCCCCACUUACUAAUACCCCUUUGGAUCAAACACUAUUCCACCUACCACCAUCAUCUCAACCCUACAUCUCUUCCUCCAAUGGUUAAAAACACAAAAGCACCACCCCCUUGGUGCUUUUGAGAGUACUCUAGCUCAACUAUAUAUAUAUAUAUAUAGUAGGGCUAGAAUACUUGUAAAAGUAUCAUGGGGUGAUACUUGUGUGUUUUUAGCCCUUGGAUGGAGAGAUGUGAGGUUGAGAUGAUGGUGGUAGGUGGUGGUAGGUGGAAUAGUGUUUCAUCCAAGGGCUAUUAAUAAUCAAAAAGUAGAUCCAAUGGCUUAAAACCUAAUA